GCAUUGUUGGUGCUCUGAGGGUGUCAGCCAGGCCACUCAUGCAGACCAUUGCGGCAGCACUGAAAAUGGAAGAAAGAUGGGAUUCUGCUGUCUUUUGUUUUGGCUGAUGAACAGCACCGAGAUGGAGUGGCGUUCAACACAAGUCAUUGGUUGGGAGUAGAGGGCACUCUGCAUGGUCGUCUGGAACCAGGGUUUGCCUACAUGAUGGGUCUCCAUUUGCCACCGGCCUUGGACGU
RNAcentral lists this long non-coding RNA (236 nucleotides) under Homo sapiens (human). RNAcentral describes it as "HSALNT0210743". Lineage: Eukaryota; Metazoa; Chordata; Mammalia; Primates; Hominidae. The record is from RNAcentral.